UACAGAGGGGGCAAGCGUUGUUCGGAAUUACUGGGCGUAAAGGGCGCGUAGGCGGCCUGCUAAGUCGAACGUGAAAUCCCUGGGCUCAACCCAGGAACUGCGUCCGAUACUGGUUGGCUUGAAUUCGGGAGAGGGAUGCAGAAUUCCAGGUGUAGCGGUGAAAUGCGUAGAUAUCUGGAGGAAUACCGGUGGCGAAGGCGGCAUCCUGGACCGAGAUUGACACUGAUGAGCGAAGGCCAGGGGAGCAAACGGG
This 253-nucleotide ribosomal RNA is filed under the name uncultured bacterium. RNAcentral's name for it is "partial 16S ribosomal RNA". It matches the Rfam family "Bacterial small subunit ribosomal RNA", at positions 524 to 776 of the family's 1533-position model. The record is from RNAcentral.